This 465-nucleotide ribosomal RNA is filed under the name uncultured bacterium. RNAcentral describes it as "partial 16S ribosomal RNA". It matches the Rfam family "Bacterial small subunit ribosomal RNA", at positions 338 to 795 of the family's 1533-position model. The record is from RNAcentral.
CCUACGGGAGGCAGCAGUAGGGAAUCUUCCACAAUGGGCGAAAGCCUGAUGGAGCAACGCCGCGUGGGUGAAGAAGGUCUUCGGAUCGUAAAACCCUGUUGUUAGAGAAGAAAGUGCGUGAGAGUAACUGUUCACGUUUCGACGGUAUCUAACCAGAAAGCCACGGCUAACUACGUGCCAGCAGCCGCGGUAAUACGUAGGUGGCAAGCGUUAUCCGGAUUUAUUUGGCGUAAAGGGAACGCAGGCGGUCUUUUAAGUCUGAUGUGAAAGCCUUCGGCUUAACCGGAGUAGUGCAUUGGAAACUGGGAGACUUGAGUGCAGAAGAGGUGAGUGGAACUCCAUGUGUAGCGGUGAAAUGCGUAGAUAUAUGGAAGAACACCAGUGGCGAAAGCGGCUCUCUGGUCUGUAACUGACGCUGAGGUUCGAAAGCGUGGGUAGCAAACAGGAUUAGAUACCCCAGUAGUC